AGAUUGAACGCUGGCGGCAUGCCUUACACAUGCAAGUCGAACGGCAGCGCGGGGGCAACCCUGGUGGCGAGUGGCGAACGGGUGAGUAAUAUAUCGGAACGUGCCCUGGAGUGGGGGAUAGCUCGGCGAAAGCCGGAUUAAUACCGCAUACGAUCUAUGGAUGAAAGUGGGGGAUCGCAAGACCUCAUGCUCCUGGAGCGGCCGAUAUCUGAUUAGCUAGUUGGUGGGGUAAAGGCCUACCAAGGCUUCGAUCAGUAGCUGGUCUGAGAGGACGACCAGCCACACUGGAACUGAGACACGGUCCAGACUCCUACGGGAGGCAGCAGUGGGGAAUUUUGGACAAUGGGGGACAA
RNAcentral lists this ribosomal RNA (353 nucleotides) under uncultured soil bacterium. RNAcentral's name for it is "bacterial SSU rRNA". It matches the Rfam family "Bacterial small subunit ribosomal RNA", at positions 26 to 381 of the family's 1533-position model. The record is from RNAcentral.